GGGGAAUAUUGGACAAUGGGGGCAACCCUGAUCCAGCCAUUCCGCGUGAGUGAAGAAGGCCUUCGGGUUGUAAAGCUCUUUCAGCUGGAACGAAACGGUACGCUCUAACAUAGCGUGCUAAUGACGGUACCGGCAGAAGAAGCACCGGCUAACUACGUGCCAGCAGCCGCGGUAAUACGUAGGGUGCGAGCGUUAAUCGGAAUUACUGGGCGUAAAGCGUGCGCAGGCGGAUUGUUAAGCAAGAUGUGAAAUCCCCGGGCUUAACCUGGGAAUGGCAUUGUGACUGCAAGGCUGGAGUGCGGCAGAGGGGGAUGGAAUUCCGCGUGUAGCAGUGAAAUGCGUAGAUAUGCGGAGGAACACCGAUGGCGAAGGCAAUCCCCUGGGCCUGCACUGACGCUCAUGCACGAAAGCGUGGGGAGCAAACA
RNAcentral lists this ribosomal RNA (425 nucleotides) under uncultured beta proteobacterium. RNAcentral describes it as "bacterial SSU rRNA". It matches the Rfam family "Bacterial small subunit ribosomal RNA", at positions 356 to 774 of the family's 1533-position model. Lineage: Bacteria; Pseudomonadati; Pseudomonadota; Betaproteobacteria. The record is from RNAcentral.